Molecule: ribosomal RNA, 446 nt
Filed under: uncultured bacterium
Lineage: Bacteria
Description: partial 16S ribosomal RNA
Rfam family: Bacterial small subunit ribosomal RNA
Source: RNAcentral
CCUACGGGUGGCAGCAGUAGGGAAUUUUCGGCAAUGGGGGGAACCCUGACCGAGCAACGCCGCGUGAACGAAGAAGUUAUUCGGAAUGUAAAGUUCUUUUAACAGGGAAGAAAGAGAAAUUUGACGGUACCUGAAGAAUAAGCUACGGCUAACCACGUGCCAGCAGCCGCGGUAAUACGUAGGGAGCGAGCGUUUUCGGGAAUAAUUGGGCGAAAGGGGUGGGUAGAUGGCGUAGAAGGUCUUUUGUAAAAAUGCUGGGCUCAACCCAGUAGGGCAAAAGAAACUGUAAAGCUAGAGUAUAACAGAGGCAAGUGGAACUACAGGUGUAGCGGUGAAAUGCGUAAAUAUCUGUAAGAACACCGGUGGCGAAGGCGGCUUGCUGGGUCGAUACUGACAUUGAGGCACGAAAGCGUGGGGAGCAAACAGGAUUAGAUACCCUAGUAGUC